GGUGAACGCUGGCGGCGGGCCUAAUACAUGCAAGUCGAGCGAACAGACGAGGAGCUUGCUCCUCUGACGUUAGCGGCGGACGGGUGAGUAACACGUGGAUAACCUACCUAUAAGACUGGGAUAACUUCGGGAAACCGGAGCUAAUACCGGAUAAUAUAUUGAACCGCAUGGUUCAAUAGUGAAAGACGGUUUUGCUGUCACUUAUAGAUGGAUCCGCGCCGCAUUAGCUAGUUGGUAAGGUAACGGCUUACCAAGGCAACGAUGCGUAGCCGACCUGAGAGGGUGAUCGGCCACACUGGAACUGAGACACGGUCCAGACUCCUACGGGAGGCAGCAGUAGGGAAUCUUCCGCAAUGGGCGAAAGCCUGACGGAGCCACGCCGCGUGAGUGAUGAAGGUCUUCGGAUCGUAAAACUCUGUUAUUAGGGAAGAACAAAUGUGUAAGUAACUAUGCACGUCUUGACGGUACCUAAUCAGAAAGCCACGGCUAACUACGUG
This 497-nucleotide ribosomal RNA is filed under the name uncultured bacterium. Its description in RNAcentral is "partial 16S ribosomal RNA". It matches the Rfam family "Bacterial small subunit ribosomal RNA", at positions 28 to 507 of the family's 1533-position model. The record is from RNAcentral.